CUGAAGAGGCCCCAGUGAAAAUUGUCCAUGUCCAGCUGUGAGAUCAGAACAUCCUGCGGACAAGGAGAAUGCGUGAUGUCUUGGUUGUUUUGUCUCCUUCAAGACUUCACCGAGCAAUACUUCAGUCCACCAUGGCCAGUCGGAACACAGGAAACAUCAUGGACGACCUCACCUGUCCGCUCUGUCACCAGAUGUUCAAGGAUCCAGUUGUUCUGCAGUCAUGUGGCCACAACUUCUGCCGUGGUUGCCUACAAGGGCAACAAAAAUCUGGAGACAUGGAAGGCCAGGAUAAAACAUGUCCCAUCUGCCAGCAGAUAUGCCCAGUCGACAUGUAUUUCCCCAACAGAGCAUUAUGUAAGUUUGUAGAAAAGGUUAAAGAAUCAGAAAAUCAAGAAGUUGUAGGUCAAAUGAUGGCGGCUCCUCGUGACAUCUCAGACCAACUCACCUGUGGCCUGUGUCACAAAAUCUACAGAGAUCCGGUUGUCCUACAGACAUGUGAACAUAAUUUCUGUCACGAAUGCCUGCAGAAGAGGUCAACAAAUCAAGAGGACACAUCAUGCCCCACAUGCCAGAAGAAAUGUCCUAAGGAUGGCUAUGUUCACAACGUGGUCCUGGCCAAACUGAUAAAGAGGAUGAACCUUCCAGUAAAUCGGGAGGAAAAGCAAGGACAGAAGAAAGGACAGGAGGAAAGGCAAGGACAGGAGGAAAGGCAAGGACAGGAGGAAAGGCAAGGACAGGAGGAAAGGCAAGGACAGGAGGAAAGGCAAGGACAGGAGGAAAGGCAAGGACAGGAGGAAGACAAAGCAAAGGAUCUGGAGUGUAAAGAGCACAAGGAAAGGAUUUCGCUUUUUUGCCUAGAUGACAAAACAUUGUGCUGCUUGGUGUGCAGAGAUUCCAUCCGACAUGUUCAUCAUGAUUUCCUUCCUCUGACAGAAGCAUCAACUAUGAUGAAGGUUACAUUGUCUCUAAAUAUCAUCAAGCAACUGGAAUUACAAGAUAAAGUCAUCAAAAUGAGCAAGAUGCAGGCGGAGAAGAUGACAGAACAUCAGCCGCUUCACCUCUGACGCUGGAUCCAGAGACGGCUCAUCGCAAUCUGCUGGUGUCUGAGGACUUGACCAGCGUCUCCUACCUGUCAAGUAUCUUCAGGAGGGUCCCGGACAGCCCCAAAAGAUUCACUCAUUUCAAAGUAGCACUGAC
Hyla sarda is the source of this 1197-nucleotide RNA transcript. It is a transcript of the gene named zinc-binding protein A33-like, with no coding region annotated. NCBI's taxonomy places the organism in Eukaryota, Metazoa, Chordata, Amphibia, Anura, Hylidae. The transcript is spliced from 5 exons. The record is from RefSeq and is a predicted model, not a curated record.